AACGCUGGCGGCGUGCUUAACACAUGCAAGUCGAACGAGAAUCUGUGGAUCGAGGAUUCGUCCAAGUGAAGCAGAGGACAGUGGCGGACGGGUGAGUAACGCGUGAGGAACCUGCCUUCCAGAGGGGGGACAACAGUUGGAAACGACUGCUAAUACCGCAUGAUACAUUUGGGUGGCAUCAUCUGAAUGUCAAAGAUUUAUCGCUGAAAGAUGGACCCGCGUCCGAUUAGUUAGUUGGUGGGGUAACGGCCCACCAAGACUGCGAUCGGUAGCCGACCUGAGAGGGUGACCGGCCACAUUGGGACUGAGACACGGCCCAGACUCCUACGGGAGGCAGCAGUGGGGAAUAUUGCACAAUGGAGGAAACUCUGAUGCAGCGACGCCGCGUGAGCGAAGAAGUAUUUCGGUAUGUAAAGCUCUGUCAGCAGGGAAGAUAAUGACGGUACCUGACCAAGAAGCCCCGGCUAACUACGUG
RNAcentral lists this ribosomal RNA (475 nucleotides) under uncultured bacterium. RNAcentral's name for it is "bacterial SSU rRNA". It matches the Rfam family "Bacterial small subunit ribosomal RNA", at positions 32 to 507 of the family's 1533-position model. The record is from RNAcentral.